ACGACAAAGAUAACCGAGCAUUACCGCCAUUACGUGUGCCCGGGUACACGUGUGCCACUGUGCCACCGCCGGCCACCUGGUCAAUUGCCACGUACGCACCGGCCACGUCUUCAAUAACUGGUUUCGUCGUCGCAUGCAUGCAUCAGCAACGGAAACGCGUGUGUGCCACGCCACGCAGCUGAAGCGUGGGGGAGCGAAAAGGGAUGCCCGAACGGUUAAAGAUCAGACGUUUUAAUUUGCGUGGCGUUAUGGUUCAGAUUCAUUAAGGGGCCGAGUUUGAGGGCUUAACCCGAUAUAUAAGACAUGAGCGUAGGCUGAGUUACUUCUCUCUUUCUUUCUUUUUUCUUUUUUUUUUUUGCGAAAGGUAGGCUGAGUCACUCCCGGCGAUGCCACCUGUCCCUGAACUGCACUGCGUGGGACUUGUCUUAACCAAAGAUUAUUGUGGGAAAAAAAACGUCCUAAAGAAGGAAGGAAUGAACAAUAAAAUAGACAAAAACGAGUUAAAUUAAUAGGAUUACAAGAAUUCAAUGUAAUGCCAAGCACAAUCUUAAUUAACCUCUUUACACUAAUUAAAAAAGCUCUUCAAUCCCUAUGAUAUAAUGGUUCUGCUAUUGAUAAGUCACCCAUUUUUAGUUAGAAAUCAAUCGACAUGUUAGGCAUCGGAUUUUAAUCCAACGAUAGCAAGUGAGGGAUGAGAGAAUGGGUAUGACCCUCAGAUUUUAAUUCAACGGCUUUGAAACGUUGACUGAUAUUUAAGGCUUAUUUCUUAAAAAACAGGCGACUUAGAAGUCACACCCAUAAUAUUAUGUUAAACCGAUCAGCACAAAAGGUGAAAAAACUUAGUCUCAUACAACUGGCUCUCCUAAGUUCCUUUUUUCACCCGCUAACCCUUCAAUCUAGCCGCCCAAACAAUGAAUUUAUGUUGAUCUUGGACACAAAACAGAGUUAAACUAACUUGUUUGAGUUAAUAAUAUUGGCUAAUCUUGGUAGCUUAACCACGAAUCAAAUGGGGCCUUGAUGUUUUCCUACCCCGAAUGAGGAAAGGUAUAAUAAACUGCCAACGGUGCAUAUAUGGCAAAUAGGUAUUUUCUUUUUCUUCUAGAAAGCCCUAG
This 1112-nucleotide long non-coding RNA is filed under the name Brachypodium distachyon (stiff brome). RNAcentral's name for it is "long non-coding RNA (BDIS_LNC001817)". Lineage: Eukaryota; Viridiplantae; Streptophyta; Magnoliopsida; Poales; Poaceae. The record is from RNAcentral.